UGGGGAAUAUUGCACAAUGGGGGAAACCCUGAUGCAGCAACGCCGCGUGAGUGAAGAAGUAUUUCGGUAUGUAAAGCUCUAUCAGCAGGGAAGAAAAUGACGGUACCUGACUAAGAAGCACCGGCUAACUCCGUGCCAGCAGCCGCGGUAAUACGGAGGGUGCAAGCGUUAAUCGGAAUAACUGGGCGUAAAGGGCAUGCAGGCGGUUCAUCAAGUAGGAUGUGAAAUCCCCGGGCUCAACCUGGGAACAGCAUACUAAACUGGUGGACUAGAGUAUUGCAGGGGGAGACGGAAUUCCAGGUGUAGCGGUGGAAUGCGUAGAUAUCUGGAAGAACACCAAAGGCGAAGGCAGUCUCCUGGGCAAAUACUGACGCUCAUAUG
RNAcentral lists this ribosomal RNA (381 nucleotides) under uncultured Succinivibrio sp. RNAcentral's name for it is "bacterial SSU rRNA". It matches the Rfam family "Bacterial small subunit ribosomal RNA", at positions 355 to 753 of the family's 1533-position model. Lineage: Bacteria; Pseudomonadati; Pseudomonadota; Gammaproteobacteria; Aeromonadales; Succinivibrionaceae. The record is from RNAcentral.